Molecule: ribosomal RNA, 276 nt
Filed under: uncultured soil bacterium
Lineage: Bacteria
Description: partial 16S ribosomal RNA
Rfam family: Bacterial small subunit ribosomal RNA
Source: RNAcentral
AGAACGAACGCUGGCGGCAUGCCUAAUACAUGCAAGUCGAACGAACACUUCGGUGUUAGUGGCGCACGGGUGCGUAACGCGUGGGAAUCUGCCCUUGGGUUCGGAAUAACAGUUGGAAACGACUGCUAAUACCGGAUGAUGACGAAAGUCCAAAGAUUUAUCGCCCAGGGAUGAGCCCGCGUAGGAUUAGCUAGUUGGUGAGGUAAAGGCUCACCAAGGUCGACGAUCCUUAGCUGGUCUGAGAGGAUGAUCAGCCACACUGGGACUGAGACACGG